CACUAUUAUUCUACAAUGUAGAAAAUAGUUAAAAAUAAAGAAAAACCCUCGAAUGAGUAGGUGUGUCCAAACUAUAUUAUAUUUCACUAAAACUUUUCAAGGAUGGCCCUACCUCUUUCCCUAUUAGGUGCAUAGUGAAUAUUGGACCUGACCUCAACUUCCCCCAAAAUGCUGUGCUGCAGGAUGACACACAUACUAAUGUAAAGUCAUUCACAGCAAACAAUGUUGGUAGAGCCUUUUUAAAUCUUAUUUUUUGCCUACUUCAGUUUUCUUAUUUUUUUGUAUUACAUUUUCUUGGUUUUCUUUUUCCAGGUUUCAGAUUUCCCAAUUUUCUCUGUGUUCAUAACUAUGCUUAAACCACAUCAGGGGAUGACUUUUGAGGUCUUGGAAAAAUCUAAGAAACGGUGUAAUUGCCCUUUAAUUCAGUGAGCAUGCCCUGCACUGUUGUUUUGUUAGCAGGUUUUCUGUAGUGCAGUAAGGGCACAUGUGAUGUGAUUCGGCUGCCAAUAGAAUGGGGGAGUAAUCAAAAGCCCACUUGUGCUGCCACUGUACAGCGAAAAAUGAGUUGGAACCAACAUGGAGUACCUCCAGUAGGAAGAGAGGCAAGAACCAUUCGUCUGCCAGCUCAGGGACAAGCUACACUAUUCACAGCAAUUACAUUGUAAUGUUCAAUGUAAUUGCAUUGCUGGACUUUUUGAAAAUUCAUGUAUUUGUAUUGCUUAAAAAAUGUAUAAAUGAAAGGAAAUGUAUGAUUUAAACAGGUGUUUAAUGUUUAUUUGUUUUAGCUGUUAGUGAUAAUUCCCAGUGUUAAUACAUUUGCGUUUACAUCAUUAAGCCUUUAUGUAUCUGUUAUGAUCAAAGGGGUCUGACUUUAUAGUAAGCAGAGCCUCAUAGGAUACAUGGCAUUUAUGUAUGUGUUAUAAAUUACCAAAGGGGUCUGACUUUAAAUUAAGUACAGCGAUAUAGUCUUUGGAUGUGUUAUGAAUGUCCGAAUGGUGUCUCACUUCAAACUAAGUAUUACAGGACAACAGUGUCAAUAAAUAUGUUAACGUUC
Molecule: long non-coding RNA, 1054 nt
Organism: Oncorhynchus kisutch (coho salmon)
Lineage: Eukaryota; Metazoa; Chordata; Actinopteri; Salmoniformes; Salmonidae
Exons: 2
Source: RefSeq, a predicted model, not a curated record